CCUACGGGUGGCUGCAGUAGGGAAUAUUGCUCAAUGGGGGAAACCCUGAAGCAGCCAAGCCGCGUGGAGGAUGAAGGUUUUCGGAUUGUAAACUCCUUUUGUUAGAGAAGAUAAUGACGGUAUCUAACGAAUAAGCACCGGCUCAAUCCGUGCCAGCAGCCGCGGUAAUACGGAGGGAGUAAGCGUUAUUCGGAAUCACUGGGCGUAAAGAGCGCGUAGGCGGGAUAGCAAGUCAGAUGUGAACUACGAUGGCGUAACCAUAGAACUGCAUUUGAAACUGUUAUUCUAGAGUAUGGGAGAGGUAGGUGGAAGUCGUGGUGUAGGGGUAAAAUCCGUAGAGAUCAAGAGGAAUACUCAUUGCGAAGGCGACCUGCUAGAACAUAACUGACGCUGAUGCGCGAAAGCGUGGGGAGCAAACAGGAUUAGAUACCCCGGUAGUC
This 440-nucleotide ribosomal RNA is filed under the name uncultured bacterium. Its description in RNAcentral is "partial 16S ribosomal RNA". It matches the Rfam family "Bacterial small subunit ribosomal RNA", at positions 338 to 795 of the family's 1533-position model. The record is from RNAcentral.